This 671-nucleotide long non-coding RNA is filed under the name Oryza brachyantha (malo sina). RNAcentral describes it as "long non-coding RNA (OBRA_LNC001447)". Lineage: Eukaryota; Viridiplantae; Streptophyta; Magnoliopsida; Poales; Poaceae. The record is from RNAcentral.
GCAAAGCCUUUUUCUUUCUCUCCUACCUUACCCCUCCUUUUCUCAUCCACAUCCACCAUUACCCUAGCUUCGAUGUCUCCAUCUCCAUGUUACCGUGCAAGUGCAACUAACACCACGCCAUUGAUCACAUGCUUGUGUUGCGAGCUGUGGCUGCAUUUCGCCAGCAUCGCUGCCUGCUGCCACUGCUAGUUUGGCACAUCUCAUAAAGGCAGGACGGACUGGAGCAGCAGGAUCGAUGGAUCAUCCUGCUGUUGUUUUUUCUUGCAAAAGGCGGGAAGGCAGUAGCAAAAGGGCGCUAAAGUUGGGUCCUUUUUCUUGCCACCUAGCCGCUGGCGCGCAUUAUUAAGCUCCCCCCUCCACUUCACCCACCCGGAAUCGAAAAGGCAGCGUUUUUUUUUUGUUUUGUUUUGUUUUGAUUCUUUCUUCCUCCGGCGAGCGGCGAGCGGCGGCCGGCGUUACCGGUCUUGGCGGCGACGGUUUGAGGCCGCAUUCAGUAGGUGCGGGAUCCUCGUCGGAAUUAAUGCCUUAAUUCCGUGUGCGUUUCUUGCGGAUUCUGCUGCUACAUAGCCGUGACACCGUACCUGCCGGUUUCUGCAGCUGUUGCAGUGCAGGGAUGGCGCCGGCGCCGGCGAAGUGGUCGCUGUUGGUGGCGGUGGCGGUGCUCGUGGCGG